AUACGGAAGGUCCGGGCGUUAUCCGGAUUUAUUGGGUUUAAAGGGAGCGCAGGCGGAGAUGCAAGCGUGACGUCAAAUUUCGGGGCUCAACCCCGUCUCGCGUCGCGAACUGCGUCCCUUGGUUGCGGGAAGGGGAGGCGGAACUCGGGGUGUAGCGGGGAAAUGCAUAGAUAUCACGAGGAACUCCGAUUGCGCAGGCAGCUUACUAAACUACUACUGACGCUCAGGCACGAAGGCGUGGGGAUCAAACAGGAUUAGAUACCCUGGUAGUCCACGCAGUAAACGAUGAAUACUUGUUUUCGGCGAUAUAAUGUCGGAGGCAAAGCGAAAGCGAUAAGUAUUCCACCUGGGGAGUACGCCGGCAACGGUGAAACUCAAAGGAAUUGGCGGGG
This 392-nucleotide ribosomal RNA is filed under the name uncultured bacterium. Its description in RNAcentral is "partial 16S ribosomal RNA". It matches the Rfam family "Bacterial small subunit ribosomal RNA", at positions 523 to 918 of the family's 1533-position model. The record is from RNAcentral.